This 468-nucleotide ribosomal RNA is filed under the name uncultured bacterium. RNAcentral describes it as "partial 16S ribosomal RNA". It matches the Rfam family "Bacterial small subunit ribosomal RNA", at positions 28 to 507 of the family's 1533-position model. The record is from RNAcentral.
GACGAACGCUGGCGGCGUGCUUAACACAUGCAAGUCGAACGGAAAGGCCCUGCUUUUGUGGGGUGCUCGAGUGGCGAACGGGUGAGUAACACGUGAGUAACCUGCCCUUGACUUUGGGAUAACUUCAGGAAACUGGGGCUAAUACCGGAUAGGAGCUCCUGCUGCAUGGUGGGGGGUGGAAAGUUUCGGCGGUCGGGGAUGGACUCGCGGCUUAUCAGCUUGUUGGUGGGGUAGUGGCUUACCAAGGCUUUGACGGGUAGCCGGCCUGAGAGGGUGACCGGCCACAUUGGGACUGAGAUACGGCCCAGACUCCUACGGGAGGCAGCAGUGGGGAAUAUUGCACAAUGGGCGGAAGCCUGAUGCAGCAACGCCGCGUGCGGGAUGACGGCCUUCGGGUUGUAAACCGCUUUCGCCUGUGACGAAGCGUGAGUGACGGUAAUGGGUAAAGAAGCACCGGCUAACUACGUG